This 269-nucleotide ribosomal RNA is filed under the name uncultured Planctomycetales bacterium. RNAcentral describes it as "partial 16S ribosomal RNA". It matches the Rfam family "Bacterial small subunit ribosomal RNA", at positions 565 to 832 of the family's 1533-position model. The record is from RNAcentral. Lineage: Bacteria; Pseudomonadati; Planctomycetota; Planctomycetia; Planctomycetales.
GAGCACGUAGGUGGGUUUGUAAGUCAGAUGUGAAAGCCUUCUGUUCAACGGAAGAAUUGCAUCUGAAACUGCGAGUCUUGAGCAUAGGAGGGGAGAGUGGAACUUCUGGUGGAGCGGUGAAAUGCGUAGAAAUCAGAAGGAACGCCGGCGGCGAAAGCGAUUCUCUGGCCUAUUACUGACACUCAGUGUGCGAAAGCUAGGGGAGCAAACGGGAUUAGAUACCCCGGUAGUCCUAGCCGUAAACGAUGGGCACUAAGUAGAGGGGUUUU